CCCUUAGAUGUUCUGGGCAGCACGCGCGCUACAAUGGUCUUCGCAAACGGAUGCAUUCUCGAAGGAGAAUGCCAAUCUUGGAAUCUAUGCCUUGGUCGGGACAGUUGCUUGCAAUUUUUCGACUCGAACCAGGAAUUCCUUGUAAUCUUGAUUCAUCACAUCACGAUGAAUACGUCCCUGCCCUUUGUACACACCGCCCGUCGCUCCUACCGAUCGAAGAGUUAGGUGAAUUGUUUUGAUCGAUAAGAUUUGACUAUGGUCAACUCUCGUUGUGAAAUUCUGUGAAUCUGACUGUUUAGAGGAAGGAAAAGUCGUAACA
This 319-nucleotide ribosomal RNA is filed under the name uncultured eukaryote. RNAcentral describes it as "partial 18S ribosomal RNA". It matches the Rfam family "Eukaryotic small subunit ribosomal RNA", at positions 1470 to 1796 of the family's 1831-position model. The record is from RNAcentral.